UGAAACUGCGAACGGCUCAUUAGAGCAGAUGUGAUUUAUUCGGAAAAUCCUAUUGGAUAACUGCGGUAAUUCUGGAGCUAAUACAUGCGUAUAAACCCUGACUUUCGAAAGGGUGCAAUUAUUAGAGCAAAUCAAUCAUUUUCGGAUGUAGUUUGCUGACUCUGAAUAACGCAGCAUAUCGGCGGCUUGUUCGCCGAUAAUCCGAAAAAGUGUCUGCCCUAUCAACCUGAUGGUAGUCUAUUAGUCUACCAUGGUUAUUACGGGUAACGGAGAAUAAGGGUUCGACUCCGGAGAGGGAGCCUUAGAAACGGCUACCACAUCCAAGGAAGGCAGCAGGCGCGAAACUUAUCCAAUCUUGAAUAGAUGAGAUAGUGACUAAAAAUAAAAAGACCAUUCCUAUGGAACGGUUAUUUCAAUGAGUUGAUCAUAAACCUUUUUUCGAGUAUCCAGUGGAG
This 455-nucleotide ribosomal RNA is filed under the name Angiostrongylus cantonensis (rat lungworm). RNAcentral's name for it is "SSU rRNA". It matches the Rfam family "Eukaryotic small subunit ribosomal RNA", at positions 82 to 553 of the family's 1831-position model. The record is from RNAcentral. Lineage: Eukaryota; Metazoa; Nematoda; Chromadorea; Rhabditida; Metastrongylidae.